UGGGACUGGUACCCAAACGCAAACGUUAGUCGUCUUAAACAGGCGUAAAGGGUAAGUAGGCUGCUUUAAAUUUUCUAUUUUAAAACCAAAUUUACUUUUUUACCUUUGUUUAUACUAGGUAGAGUCAGUAAAUAAGCUCUAAUUUUAAUAAAUAAAAAUAAAAUUUUCAACUCGCAAUCCUCAGGAUUUAUAGGAGAAAAUUAAAUAAAUAAGACCUAAUUUUAUUAAGAACAGUAAAAAAUAGAAUAAAUUAAAGCUAGAAUCAUAAUGGAGAUAAACCAAAUAAUACUUAUGUGUAAGGAUGAUAUCUAAAGAUACUAAAGUAGAAUAAAACCCCU
RNAcentral lists this ribosomal RNA (338 nucleotides) under Cyclocybe aegerita. Its description in RNAcentral is "partial small subunit ribosomal RNA". The record is from RNAcentral. Lineage: Eukaryota; Fungi; Basidiomycota; Agaricomycetes; Agaricales; Hemipholiotaceae.